RNAcentral lists this unclassified non-coding RNA (345 nucleotides) under soil metagenome. Its description in RNAcentral is "partial contains 5.8S ribosomal RNA, internal transcribed spacer 2, and large subunit ribosomal RNA". The stretch from base 1 to 121 matches the Rfam family "5.8S ribosomal RNA", at positions 35 to 154 of the family's 154-position model. The record is from RNAcentral.
GAUGAAGAACGUAGCGAAAUGCGAUAAGUAAUGCGAAUUGCAGAAUUUCCGUGAGUCAUCGAAUCUUUGAACUCACAUUGCGCCCACUGGUAUUCCGGUGGGCAUGCCUGUUCGAGCGUCAUUAUCCUCCCUCAAACCCCGGGUUUGGUGUUGGACCCAAGUUGUGUGAACAACUGGUCUUAAAGACAAUGACGGCGUCCGUGGGACCCUCGGUGCAACGAGCUUUUAGGAGCACGCAUCGAGUUGCAAGGACCUUCCGGGCCGGUCUCCUUUACUAUUUUACAAGGUUGACCUCGGAUCAGGUAGGAAUACCCGCUGAACUUAAGCAUAUCAAUAAGCGGAGGA